GGAUGGGUGGCCGAGCGGUUUAAGGCACCGGUCUUGAAAACCGGCGAGGGGCAACUCUCCGUGGGUUCGAAUCCCACCCCAUCCGCCA
This 88-nucleotide transfer RNA is filed under the name Rhodospirillales bacterium. RNAcentral describes it as "tRNA-Ser". It matches the Rfam family "tRNA". Rfam says of the family: Transfer RNA (tRNA) molecules are approximately 80 nucleotides in length. Their secondary structure includes four short double-helical elements and three loops (D, anti-codon, and T loops). Further hydrogen bonds mediate the characteristic L-shaped molecular structure. tRNAs have two regions of fundamental functional importance: the anti-codon, which is responsible for specific mRNA codon recognition, and the 3' end, to which the tRNAs corresponding amino acid is attached (by aminoacyl-tRNA synthetases). tRNAs cope with the degeneracy of the genetic code in two manners: having more than one tRNA (with a specific anti-codon) for a particular amino acid; and 'wobble' base-pairing, i.e. permitting non-standard base-pairing at the 3rd anti-codon position. The record is from RNAcentral. Lineage: Bacteria; Pseudomonadati; Pseudomonadota; Alphaproteobacteria; Rhodospirillales.